This 281-nucleotide unclassified non-coding RNA is filed under the name uncultured Mortierella. RNAcentral describes it as "sequence contains ITS2". Lineage: Eukaryota; Fungi; Mortierellomycota; Mortierellomycetes; Mortierellales; Mortierellaceae. The record is from RNAcentral.
AACGCAUAUUGCGCUCUUUGGUAUUCCGAAGAGCAUGCUUGUUUGAGUAUCAGUAAACACCUCAACCUCUCUUUUUGACAAAAAAAGGAGGGUGGACUUGAGCUAUCCCAACGACCUUCACCGGUAGGCGGGCGGCUUGAAAUGCAGGUGCAGCUGGACUUUUAUCUGAGCUAAAAGCAUAUCUAUUUAGUCCUCGUCAAACAGGAUUAUUACUUUUGCUGCAGCUAACAUAAAGGAUAAUCGUCCUCUUUGCUGACUGAUGCAGGAUUUUACGACACUUU